CCGCCGCCGCGCAAGCCCUCCUCCGUCGCUCCGGUCCCGUUCCCCUCAUGCUCCUCUCGUCCCAGAAUCGACCGGGCGCAGUGGGUAGAACUCGGCCCCAUCGGCCGCCGGAGCCGGAGCAGUUGAAGCCGCCGCCGGAGAUGGAGCAGUUCAAGCCGCCGCCUCUCCCUUCCAAAGGAAUCGGGUCGGGACGAACGGAAUCGCACCAUCUUCAUUCUCUCAGGCCGGCCGUCGCCGUCGAAAUUGAGCGCGUCGUCGGGGGAUCUCGGCCCCGUCGGCAGCCGGACACAGGCGCCGCCGCCUCGCCGUCCCUCGUCCGCCCCUGUUCCCGUGUGCUCCGGCCCCGCUGGAAGAGAGGAGCUCGUUCUCCUCGUCCCUGUCGUCCCUGUCGAGCAGCGCACCUCCUCGUCCCGAUUCAACCGUGUGCUCUUCAUCGUCAGCCACCUCCGUCUCCCUGCUGCACCAACCUCCUCCAGGGACAAGCUGCUUUUUCACAGCUCAACAGCUACGGCUGCUUUUCAAAAGCUGCAGCCCAAACAAACAGACC
Non-coding RNA from Lolium perenne, 547 nucleotides. The record is from RefSeq and is a predicted model, not a curated record. NCBI's taxonomy places the organism in Eukaryota, Viridiplantae, Streptophyta, Magnoliopsida, Poales, Poaceae.